Molecule: ribosomal RNA, 465 nt
Filed under: uncultured bacterium
Lineage: Bacteria
Description: partial 16S ribosomal RNA
Rfam family: Bacterial small subunit ribosomal RNA
Source: RNAcentral
GACGAACGCUGGCGGCGUGCUUAACACAUGCAAGUCGAACGGAAAGGCCCCUUUGGGGGUACUCGAGUGGCGAACGGGUGAGUAACACGUGAGUAACCUGCCCUUGACUUCGGGAUAACUUCAGGAAACUGGGGCUAAUACCGGAUAGGAAUCCUUGCUGCAUGGUGGGGGUUGGAAAGCUUCGGCGGUUUUGGAUGGACUCGCGGCUUAUCAGCUUGUUGGUGGGGUAGUGGCUUACCAAGGCUUUGACGGGUAGCCGGCCUGAGAGGGCGACCGGCCACAUUGGGACUGAGAUACGGCCCAGACUCCUACGGGAGGCAGCAGUGGGGAAUAUUGCACAAGGGGCGGAAGCCGGAUGCAGCAACGCCGCGUGCGGGAUGACGGCCUUCGGGUUGUAAACCGCUUUCAGCAGGGGCGAAGCUUGUGGUGACGGUACCUGCAGAAGAAGCACCGGCUAACUACGUG